Molecule: small RNA, 598 nt
Filed under: Pan troglodytes (chimpanzee)
Lineage: Eukaryota; Metazoa; Chordata; Mammalia; Primates; Hominidae
Description: retained intron
Source: RNAcentral
GCGAGACCCACAAAUAAAGGGGAGCGCAGGGGUUGCGGCGGGACUAGGAGCGCGGCGGGGCCGGCGGCAGAGCUGUCCGGCUGCGCGGUGGCCCGGGGGGCCCGGGCGGCAGGGCAAGCAGCGCGGCCUCGGCCUAUGCGACCGGUGGCGCCGGCGCGGCUUCCGCCUGGAGAGGAUUCAAGAUGACCAACGAAGAACCUCUUCCUAAGAAGGUAUGGGUUUUGGUUUUGGGUUUCUUUGUUUUGUUUUGGGUUUUUUGGGGGUUUUUUUAAGCACUUUUAAAAAAAAUAGACUUGAAGGGAUUAUCGUUGUUUGCUUAUUUUUCAUUUAUUUGCCUUUAUAACAAUAAUAGCAUUGGAGUUGUACAGUGUGCCAGAUAUUGUAUCUUAUAUCCAGUAUAUUUUUUAGAAUAUUUUCAGAUUUUGGAAAACUUUAGUUAUAAUAAUAUUCCCAUGGUCUACUCUUAAUGUUCAUUAUGUAAAUAUUUCCAGGUACAUAUAUACAAAUAAUGUCAAAAAUGGACAUUAUGAGUAUAUUAUUAUUCUUUUCCUAGUGUAAAUCCCUUUGAUUGUAAUUAAAAACUACUUUAUUAAAAAAA